CAGCCGUAAACUAUGCUCGCUAGGUGUCAGGCAUGGCGCGACCGUGUCUGGUGCCGCAGGGAAGCCGUGAAGCGAGCCACCUGGGAAGUACGGCCGCAAGGCUGAAACUUAAAGGAAUUGGGCGGGGGAGCACAACAACGGGUGGAGCCUGCGGUUUAAUUGGACUCAACGCCGGACAACUCACCGGGAACGACAGCAAUAUGUAGGCCAGGCUGAAGACCUUGCCUGAAUCGCUGAGAGGAGGUGCAUGGCGUAGACGUCU
This 262-nucleotide ribosomal RNA is filed under the name uncultured archaeon. RNAcentral describes it as "partial 16S ribosomal RNA". It matches the Rfam family "Archaeal small subunit ribosomal RNA", at positions 748 to 1009 of the family's 1478-position model. The record is from RNAcentral.